RNAcentral lists this ribosomal RNA (565 nucleotides) under uncultured soil bacterium. RNAcentral describes it as "bacterial SSU rRNA". It matches the Rfam family "Bacterial small subunit ribosomal RNA", at positions 911 to 1475 of the family's 1533-position model. The record is from RNAcentral.
UGACGGGGGCCCGCACAAGCGGUGGAGCAUGUGGUUCAAUUCGACGCAACGCGAAGAACCUUACCCAGGCUCGAACGGCAUUGGACAUCCGGCGAAAGCCGGCUCCCGCAAGGGCCGAUGUCGAGGUGCUGCAUGGCUGUCGUCAGCUCGUGUCGUGAGAUGUUGGGUUAAGUCCCGCAACGAGCGCAACCCUUGUCCGCUGUUGCCAUCACGUUAUGGUGGGCACUCUGCGGAGACUGCCGGUGAUAAACCGGAGGAAGGUGGGGAUGACGUCAAGUCAGCAUGGCCUUUAUGUCUGGGGCUACACACGUGCUACAAUGGCCGAUACAAACCGUCGCGAUACCGCAAGGUGGAGCUAAUCGGAGAAAGUCGGUCUCAGUUCGGAUUGCAGGCUGCAACUCGCCUGCAUGAAGUUGGAAUCGCUAGUAAUCGCGGAUCAGCACGCCGCGGUGAAUACGUUCCCGGGCCUUGUACACACCGCCCGUCACAUCACGAAAGCUGGCUGUACUAGAAGUCGCCGCGCUAACCCGCAAGGGAGGCAAGUGCCUAAGGUAUGGUCAGUGAU